RNAcentral lists this non-coding RNA (48 nucleotides) under Schistosoma mattheei. Lineage: Eukaryota; Metazoa; Platyhelminthes; Trematoda; Strigeidida; Schistosomatidae. The record is from RNAcentral.
GUCCAACUAAAGAGUCCCAAAUAGAACGAAAUGCACGUCAAGCUGGAU